This is a non-coding RNA of Cajanus cajan (pigeon pea), 502 nucleotides long. The record is from RefSeq and is a predicted model, not a curated record. NCBI's taxonomy places the organism in Eukaryota, Viridiplantae, Streptophyta, Magnoliopsida, Fabales, Fabaceae.
AAUUCCUGCUAUGUUGAGCUACGAUCUCCGUUUAGGACAUCAUUCACAAUUAAUUCAGGGCAACCUGAGCCUAAGCGACUUGAAAGUAAAAUGAUCCAGUUGUUGGCCUUACGGAGCCUGCACAAUAAAGGGAAUGCAAAGUUACAGACCUCGUUGACAUGAUUAUCUACUGAAAAAAUGGCAUUGUUAACCAUGUUGGUGGGUUAGACCCCAUUAUGGUUCGUGUCUCCUUAAAUUGAAUAUUUCAGUGUUGGGACAGUAUUGAAGUUUUUGUGUUUGGGAUGUAACUGUAAAGUGCUUGGUACAUAACAUGGGACAGUAUGUCGGAAGAGUGAAGAAUCUUGUCCCCUUCAGUUGUUAAGUAGUUAUGUAGUGUUUUGUAUUGAAGGCUUAUACUUAAUUUUAUCGUGCACAUGGUGUACGUGUUAUUAUUGUAAGGAUAUGAACGUAUUUGGUCCUCACGACAAGAGUAGCCCCUAUUCCAUACUCGUUCCAUGAAUCA